CCCCCUACACAAAGCUCCUUGCUGUUCCACACAACAACAAAGAUGAAAGAUAACAAGCAAUUUCAACUAGCGGUGUGGUCCAACAGAAUUGCUGAUAUGGAUACCUAAACAAUUGAGACAUUUUUUUUGUAUGACAUAAUUACUUACUACUCAUUACCAAGUGAAAAUACCUACAAACAAAAUAUGAGCAUCUCCUUUAGUCAACUUUAUUGCAACAUGUAAAAAGAAGUUACGUUUCUUACAAAAUAAUAAGGAUUUUUAUUGUUAGAUUAAAUGUUUUAUUAAUUGGAAUAAACAAUGAUAUAGGCCUACUCAAUAAAUAAUUAUUCUAGUGGUGACUCAAAUCUGUAGCCUACAGUAUGAUGAGUACCCUACAGUAUGAUGAGUAGCCUACAGUAUGGUAAGUAGCCUACAGUAUGAGUAGCCUACAGUAUGAUGAGUAGCCUACAGUAUGGUAAGUAGCCUACAGUAUGAUGAGUAGCCUACAGUAUGGUAAGUAGCCUACAGUAUGAUGAGUAGCCUACAGUAUGGUAAGUAGCCUACAGUAUGAUGAGUAGCCUACAGUAUGGUAAGUAGCCUACAGUAUGAGUAGUCUACAGUAUGAUGAGUAGCCUACAGUGUGAUGAGUAGCCUACAGUAUGAUGAGUAGCCUACAGUAUGAGUAGCCUACAGUAUGAUGAGUAGCCUACAGUAUGGUAAGUAGCCUACAGUAUGAUGAGUAGCCUACAGUAUGGUAAGUAGCCUACAGUAUGAUGAGUAGCCUACAGUAUGGUAAGUAGCCUACAGUAUGAGUAGCCUACAGUAUGAUGAGUAGCCUACAGUAUGAUGAGUAGCCUACAGUAUGGUAAGUAGCCUACAGUAUGAGUAGCCUACAGUAUGAUGAGUAGCCUACAGUAUGGUUGGUAGCCUACAGUAUGAUGAGUAGCCUACAGUAUGGUAAGUAGCCUACAGUAUGAUGAGUAGCCUACAGUAUGAUGAGUAGCCUACAGUAUGAUGAGUAGCCUACAGUGUGAUGAGUAGCCUACAGUAUGAUGAGUACCCUACAGUAUGAUGAGUAGCCUACAGUAUGAUGAGUAGCCUACAGUAUGAUGAGUAGCCUACAGUAUGGUGAGUAGCCUACAGUAUGAGUAGCCUACAGUAUGAGUAGCCUACAGUAUGAGUAGGCUACAGUAUGGUGAGUAGCCUACAGUGUGAUGAGUAGCCUACAGUAUGGUGAGUAGCCUACAGUAUGAUGAGUAGCCUACAGUAUGAUGAGUAGCCUACAGGUUGAUGAGUAGCCUACAGGUUGAUGAGUAGCCUACAGUAUGAUGAGUAGCCUACAGUGUGAUGAGUACCCUACAGUAUGAUGAGUACCCUACAGUAUGAUGAGUAGUCUACAGUGUGAUGAGUAGUCUACAGUAUGAUGAGUAGCCUACAGUAUGAUGAGUAGCCUACCGUAUGAUGAGUAGCCUACAGUAUGAUGAGUAGCCUACAGUAUGAUGAGUAGCCUACAGUGUGAUGAGUACCCUACAGUAUGAUGAGUACCCUACAGUAUGAUGAGUAGCCUA
Molecule: long non-coding RNA, 1547 nt
Organism: Oncorhynchus tshawytscha (Chinook salmon)
Lineage: Eukaryota; Metazoa; Chordata; Actinopteri; Salmoniformes; Salmonidae
Source: Ensembl